UACGAAGGGGGCUAGCGUUGCUCGGAAUGACUGGGCGUAAAGGGCGCGUAGGCGGAUGGUACAGUCAGAUGUGAAAUUCCUAGGCUUAACCUGGGGGCUGCAUUUGAUACGUGUUGUCUAGAGUGAGGAAGAGGGUCGUGGAAUUCCCAGUGUAGAGGUGAAAUUCGUAGAUAUUGGGAAGAACACCGGUGGCGAAGGCGGCGACCUGGUCCUUUACUGACGCUGAGGCGCGAAAGCGUGGGGAGCAAACAGG
Molecule: ribosomal RNA, 253 nt
Filed under: uncultured bacterium
Lineage: Bacteria
Description: partial 16S ribosomal RNA
Rfam family: Bacterial small subunit ribosomal RNA
Source: RNAcentral